UAAGGUAGCGAAAUUCCUUGUCGGGUAAGUUCCGACCUGCACGAAUGGCGUAACGAUGGCGGCGCUGUCUCCACCCGAGACUCAGUGAAAUUGAAAUCGCUGUGAAGAUGCAGUGUAUCCGCGGCUAGACGGAAAGACCCCGUGAACCUUUACUAUAGCUUUGCACUGGACUUUGAAUUUGCUUGUGUAGGAUAGGUGGGAGGCUUUGAAGCGUGGACGCCAGUUCGCGUGGAGCCAUCCUUGAAAUACCACCCUGGCAACUUUGAGGUUCUAACUCAGGUCCGUUAUCCGGAUCGAGGACAGUGUAUGGUGGGUAGUUUGACUGGGGCGGUCUCCUCCUAAAGAGUAACGGAGGAGUACGAAGGUGCGCUCAGACCGGUCGGAAAUCGGUCGUAGAGUAUAAAGGCAAAAGCGCGCUUGACUGCGAGACAGACACGUCGAGCAGGUACGAAAGUAGGUCUUAGUGAUCCGGUGGUUCUGUAUGGAAGGGCCAUCGCUCAACGGAUAAAAGGUACUCCGGGGAUAACAGGCUGAUACCGCCCAAGAGUUCAUAUCGACGGCGGUGUUUGGCACCUCGAUGUCGGCUCAUCACAUCCUGGGGCUGAAGCCGGUCCCAAGGGUAUGGCUGUUCGCCAUUUAAAGUGGUACGCGAGCUGGGUUUAGAACGUCGUGAGACAGUUCGGUCCCUAUCUGCCGUGGACGUUUGAGAUUUGAGAGGGGCUGCUCCUAGUACGAGAGGACCGGAGUGGACGAACCUCUGGUGUUCCGGUUGUCACGCCAGUGGCAUUGCCGGGUAGCUAUGUUCGGAAGAGAUAACCGCUGAAAGCAUCUAAGCGGGAAACUUGCCUCAAGAUGAGAUCUCACUGGAGCCUUGAGCUCCCUGAAGGGCCGUCGAAGACUACGACGUUGAUAGGUUGGGUGUGUAAGCGCUGUGAGGCGUUGAGCUAACCAAUACUAAUUGCCCGUGAGGCUUGACCAU
RNAcentral lists this ribosomal RNA (979 nucleotides) under Pseudomonas wadenswilerensis. RNAcentral's name for it is "bacterial LSU rRNA". It matches the Rfam family "Bacterial large subunit ribosomal RNA", at positions 1952 to 2925 of the family's 2925-position model. Lineage: Bacteria; Pseudomonadati; Pseudomonadota; Gammaproteobacteria; Pseudomonadales; Pseudomonadaceae. The record is from RNAcentral.